This 492-nucleotide ribosomal RNA is filed under the name uncultured bacterium. RNAcentral describes it as "partial 16S ribosomal RNA". It matches the Rfam family "Bacterial small subunit ribosomal RNA", at positions 29 to 507 of the family's 1533-position model. The record is from RNAcentral.
AGUGAACGCUGGCGGUAGGCCUAACACAUGCAAGUCGAACGGCAGCACAGUAAGAGCUUGCUCUUACGGGUGGCGAGUGGCGGACGGGUGAGGAAUACAUCGGAAUCUACUUUUUCGUGGGGGAUAACGUAGGGAAACUUACGCUAAUACCGCAUACGACCUACGGGUGAAAGCAGGGGAGCUUCGGACCUUGCGCGAUUGAAUGAGCCGAUGUCGGAUUAGCUAGUUUGCGAGGUAAAGGCCCACCAAGGCGACGAGCCGUAGCUGGUCUGAGAGGAUGAUCGGCCACACUGGAACUGAGACACGGGCCAGACUCCGACGGGAGGCAGCAGUAGGGAAUCUUGCACAAUGGGCGAAAGCCUGACGCAGCAACACCGCGUGAGUGAAGAAGGUCUUCGGAUUGUAAAGCCCUUUUGUUGGGAAAGAAAAGAAGUAUGAUAAAAUAUCGACGUCUUGACGGUACCCAAAGAAAAAGCACCGGCUAACUUCGUG